AGCAGCCGCGGUAAUUCCAGCUCCAAUAGCGUAUAUUUAAGUUGUUGCAGUUAAAAGCUGUAGUUGAAUUUCGGGGUCAAUAAGUUGGUCAUGCCAAUGGUAUGUACUGGCUUUAUUGUUCCUACCUCUUGACGAACUGUGAUGCCAUUAAUUUGGUGUUGCAAGGAAUCAGGACUGUACCUUGAAAAAUUAGAGUGUUUAAAGCAAGCUUACGCUUGAAUACAUUAGCAUGGAAUAUGAAAUAGG
RNAcentral lists this ribosomal RNA (246 nucleotides) under uncultured Glomeromycotina. Its description in RNAcentral is "partial small subunit ribosomal RNA". It matches the Rfam family "Eukaryotic small subunit ribosomal RNA", at positions 569 to 825 of the family's 1831-position model. Lineage: Eukaryota; Fungi; Glomeromycota. The record is from RNAcentral.